Molecule: ribosomal RNA, 400 nt
Filed under: uncultured bacterium
Lineage: Bacteria
Description: bacterial SSU rRNA
Rfam family: Bacterial small subunit ribosomal RNA
Source: RNAcentral
UGGGGAAUAUUGGGCAAUGGGCGCAAGCCUGACCCAGCGACGCCGCGUGGGUGAUGAAGGCCUUCGGGUCGUAAAGCCCUGUCGGGAGGAAAGAAUGAUCGUGGGGGGAAUAUCCCUGCGAUGUGACGGUACCUUCGAAGGAAGCACCGGCCAAUUCCGUGCCAGCAGCCGCGGUAAGACGGAAGGUGCAAGCGUUGCUCGGAAUCACUGGGCGUAAAGGGUGCGUAGGCGGCUUCUUAAGUCUGGUGUGAAAGCCCAGGGCUUAGCUCUGGAAGGGCACUAGAAACUGGGGAGCUUGAGUACCGGAGGGGAGAGUGGAAUUCCUGGUGUAGCGGUGAAAUGCGUAGAUAUCAGGAGGAAUACCGGUGGCGAAGGCAAUCCCCUGGACCUGUACUGACGC